GACGAACGCUGCGGCGUGCUAAUACAUGCAAGUAGACCGCUGAAGGAGGAGCUUGCUUCUCUGGAUGAGUUGCGAACGGGUGAGUAACGCGUAGGUAACCUGCCUGGUAGCGGGGGAUAACUAUUGGAAACGAUAGCUAAUACCGCAUAAGAGUAGAUGUUGCAUGACAUUUGCUUAAAAGGUGCAAUUGCAUCACUACCAGAUGGACCUGCGUUGUAUUAGCUAGUUGGUGAGGUAACGGCUCACCAAGGCGACGAUACAUAGCCGACCUGAGAGGGUGAUCGGCCACACUGGGACUGAGACACGGCCCAGACUCCUACGGGAGGCAGCAGUAGGGAAUCUUCGGCAAUGGACGGAAGUCUGACCGAGCAACGCCGCGUGAGUGAAGAAGGUUUUCGGAUCGUAAAGCUCUGUUGUAAGAGAAGAACGAGUGUAGA
RNAcentral lists this ribosomal RNA (437 nucleotides) under Streptococcus mitis. RNAcentral describes it as "bacterial SSU rRNA". It matches the Rfam family "Bacterial small subunit ribosomal RNA", at positions 28 to 459 of the family's 1533-position model. The record is from RNAcentral. Lineage: Bacteria; Bacillati; Bacillota; Bacilli; Lactobacillales; Streptococcaceae.